RNAcentral lists this ribosomal RNA (253 nucleotides) under uncultured bacterium. Its description in RNAcentral is "partial 16S ribosomal RNA". It matches the Rfam family "Bacterial small subunit ribosomal RNA", at positions 524 to 776 of the family's 1533-position model. The record is from RNAcentral.
UACGUAGGGUGCGAGCGUUAAUCGGAAUUACUGGGCGUAAAGCGUGCGCAGGCGGUUCGUUGUGUCUGCUGUGAAAUCCCCGGGCUCAACCUGGGAAUGGCAGUGGAAACUGGCGAGCUUGAGUGUGGCAGAGGGGGGUGGAAUUCCGCGUGUAGCAGUGAAAUGCGUAGAGAUGCGGAGGAACACCGAUGGCGAAGGCAGCCCCCUGGGCUGACACUGACGCUCAGGCACGAAAGCGUGGGGAGCAAACAGG